This 204-nucleotide ribosomal RNA is filed under the name Bubalus bubalis (water buffalo). RNAcentral describes it as "partial 16S ribosomal RNA". The record is from RNAcentral. Lineage: Eukaryota; Metazoa; Chordata; Mammalia; Artiodactyla; Bovidae.
UAUGGAGCUUUAACUAAUCAGCCCAAAGAAAAAUAAACCAAACCGCUAAGGAGUAACAACACUCUUCAUGAGCUGACAGUUUCGGUUGGGGUGACCUCGGAGAAUAAAAAAUCCUCCGAGCGAUUUUAAAGACUAGACCUACAAGUCAAAUCGCUCUAUCGCUCAUUGAUCCAAAAAUUUUGAUCAACGGAACAAGUUACCCUA